Long non-coding RNA from Cyprinus carpio carpio, 1035 nucleotides. The record is from Ensembl. NCBI's taxonomy places the organism in Eukaryota, Metazoa, Chordata, Actinopteri, Cypriniformes, Cyprinidae.
CACUUGCUUUAUGUUAAUCGUCAUUCCAGACGCGCAUUCUAGUCCAAUGCUAAACCAAUCGCGAUCCUCAAAUCCGACAAGUACCCUACGUAGUGUGUACUCAUCAGUGUGCACGUUUUCUAUUGGCGCGUUCAGCUGCCGACCAAUCAGAGUGUGUUUUUCAACGACUAAAGGUGGCCAUAUUUUAUUUUAUCCCACCUGGGUUUUGCUUCAAACAGCUGUGUUUUGCUACGCCGCUAAAAUAUUUCAUAAAAUACCCUAUAUUUAGUGUUUAUUACAUCAUGCCGUAUUAUCAGACGUGGGAAGAGUUUGCGCGAGCUGCAGAAAAACUUUAUUUGACGGAUCCGAUGAAGGUCAGAGUGGUUCUGAAAUAUCGACACUGUGAUGGAAACAUCUGUAUGAAAGUCACAGAUGAUGCUGUGUGUCUGCAGUACAAAACUGACCAGGCUCAAGAUGUGAAGAAGAUCGAGAAACUGCAUGGGAAGCUGAUGAGAUUAAUGGUCUCCAAAGAGUCCCACAGUGGAGCCAUGGAAACAGACUGAAUGAAUCAAAUGAGCUGUUGAGAUUGGACAGUUGUUUGUUACUCAAUCCGACUGACAAUGAAGAGAAAAGGAUCCACUGGAGGAUGGAGAUGAAGUUUGGUUGAUGUUUAUUGACUGUAAUACUGAGAAUGUUGAAGAUUAUGCUCGUUUGGAGAGCAAGCAGCAACAGCAUCCUACAAAAGGCUGAUUUUUGUGUUCCUGUUUGGAGGUCAGACAACGUUGUAAUGAUUAAAAAAAGCCGUGUUCAUAUGGUCUGCCUAUUAUUUAAUGUUUGGAGAAAGUACGUUUUAACUGCAACAAAAUCAAGGGAAUACUUUUUGAAGCAGGACCUUCUUAAUUUCUUAGAUUACAGUAAAAUCUCAGUCCUGGAGUUUGUAUAUCUAUGCAUGAUGUACACUGAACCUUAAUAAAUCAGUUUUUUUUCUCAACUUUCUCUCUACUUUCUCUUCAAGUAUUACUGUCUGCAAACAUUUAACGAGUGCCUUUAAAAGUC